Molecule: ribosomal RNA, 253 nt
Filed under: uncultured bacterium
Lineage: Bacteria
Description: partial 16S ribosomal RNA
Rfam family: Bacterial small subunit ribosomal RNA
Source: RNAcentral
UACGUAGGGUGCGAGCGUUGUCCGGAAUUACUGGGCGUAAAGAGCUCGUAGGUGGUUUGUCGCGUUGUUCGUGAAAACUCACAGCUUAACUGUGGGCGUGCGGGCGAUACGGGCAGACUGGAGUACUGCAGGGGAGACUGGAAUUCCUGGUGUAGCGGUGGAAUGCGCAGAUAUCAGGAGGAACACCGGUGGCGAAGGCGGGUCUCUGGGCCGAUACUGACGCUGAGGCACGAAAGCGUGGGGAGCAAACAGG